Molecule: unclassified non-coding RNA, 201 nt
Filed under: plant metagenome
Description: partial contains small subunit ribosomal RNA, internal transcribed spacer 1, and 5.8S ribosomal RNA
Source: RNAcentral
UCUCCGUUGGUGAACCAGCGGAGGGAUCAUUAUCGAGUUUAUAACUCCCAGACCCUAAGUGAACUUACCACUUGUUGCUUCGGCGCGCGCUUCGGUGCCACCGAGGACACUUAAACUCUUUGUUUUUAUAAGCAUUUCUGAGUGGCCGAAAGGCAAAAUACAAAUGAAUCAAAACUUUCAACAACGGAUCUCUUGGUUCUG